GGUCCGUGUACUUUUGCGUCCAUUCGUUUUUCUUUUUUUAACCAUGACGAGAAAAAUAAAAUAUAAACGGUUGUUGUAUUUUAAGCAAAAAAAGUUACAUUCAAAAUUUUGAAUUAGAACUGUAUUCAGAACAUUCUACGAAAAAAAUGUAUAUUGACUUAUUUUCAGAUUUUUGUUUAUGACUUUUUGCACCUUUACUUUACAUUUAUAAAAUACACAAAUUAGUAUCGAAUAAAAGCGAAUUGUACUAGUUUUCUGAAGCCAAUUUAGUGACCCGGAAAUAUUUUUUCCCGCACUAUUGAAUGCGAAGCACCAUGUCUCUGGAACCGUACAGAGAAGUGAUUUUGGACAUGAUUUUAAAACACCACACACACAAGGACGUUGCUGAGCAUCUGUCUCAAAUUGGUGUUGGGCGAGGUUGUUCGGCGAGGACUGUUAGAAGAUUUUGUGCCAGUCAUGGUGUGAGACGGGAGGUUUCCGACACUCAGCUGGAGAUAGCUGUAUCGGCAGCAGUACAAGAAGCAGGACCAACCUACGGUCGUAAAUUGAUGACCGGUUAUUUGACAUCAAAGGGAAUUCGAGCAGCAGAAAGUAGGGUUGGACGAGCCCUCCGGACAAUAAAUCGACCAUAUCAUGAAAUGCGAUGCAGUGGUGUACGGAAUCUUAAUCCCAUACCUUACUGUGCCACUUACACAGGCCACAAACUCCAUUUAGAUCAAAACGAAAAAUUGGUCAUGUUUGGAGCUACACAUGUCCUAGCAAUUGAUGGCUACAGCAGCAAGAUAAUGGCAUAUUCCUGUAUGCCAGUAAAGAAUAACCUCAUUAUCUAUGAUGAAGUGUACAGGCCUGCAGUAAUCAACAAUGGAAUGUGGGACCAGAUAAGGGUGGACCAUGGAAAAGAGUUUUUCUUGACUCUAUUUAUGCAAGAAAUUCUUGCUGACCACAGAAUGAAUACAGCAACACCACCAUAUCGUCAGACCACAUCAACAAAGAAUCACACAAUUGAGAGAAUUUGGCCUGAAAUAAACAACAGGGUUAAUUACCCUUUGAAGGAGGCUCUUGUUCAGCUGGUCGACCAAGAACUGAUUGAUAUGGACUGCAACCUAACAAGAUACUGUGUGUCUAACCUUGUCUGUCAGCUGUGUCAUCUGGGCAUUAGCAGGGUAGUAGAGGCAUGGAACAACCACAGGAUUCCUGGAAAAGGAAUCCCCAACCAGAUUGCACAGGGUGGUUGUGCAAAAAAAAUCUCAGCAGCACUACUGCCUCAUGGAACUGAAGCAGCUGAUCUGUACAUGAACACACUGGGAUCAUCUUUGACAAGGGUUUCGGCCUUUGGAACAGACCCUUUUACAAGUGAACAUGAGAAGGCUACAGUGGAACAACUGUUUUCAGAAAAGUGGCCAGACAUCACUUACUUGCUCAAUAAUACGGUCAACAAAAACUUUUUGCCUUUUAAAGAGGCUUUGGUCUGUUUAGUAAAUUUAACUCAAAGAUACUCUUAAAGAGCAUGCCUUCUAAUUGUUCAAUGCUGCUUUCCAUCAAGUGUUUUUUCUAGAAACAAAAUAUUACACACAAAUUUAAGCAUCAACAUGAUGCUGAUAAAUUAAAGUAUUUCUUUUUACUUCUUGUUUUAAGUAGUUGUGCAACAAAACUUUACACAACAACUGUCAAAUAAACUACUGAACUAAACUUGAAUUGCUGAACAGCUAAACAUUUUUUCCUGGGUAAUGUAGGCCUACUCUACCCUAAUGAUGUCACCAAGAGCUAACAAAGCUUCAGAGAGACCUGCUGCAAGAAAGAUGUGGUUGCUAAGAGCUUCCUCUCUGCAUUUUAAGCACUGUGAUGAAGUAGCCAUCCAUUGAUCAACACAAAGUUUGCAUCCGAUCAGGCUUCUACAGCAGGUGGCAAAUACUGGUUGAUCAAUGGGUCCUAAAAAACAAAAUGUUAAAAAAAAAAAAUCAGUUAUUGUGCAGAGAUGGGGUGUUUAAAAAAAGGCAAACUUUAUUAUCCAACUACCUGGAAAAAGGUACAUAAAGGGGCAGUUUCCAAUUCCUGGAAAGGGUUUAGAUUAAUCCAGGACUAGGCCUUAGUUGGCAUUGAUAUAUGUUAAGACAUACAAUUACAAGAUGUUUUUAAAUUUAGGCAGCUCAAACAUGCAUUUUCUGGGACUAGGAUAAGCCCUGUCUGGGAAACCACCCCAUAAACACAAAUAAUGAUUAUCUCAUGCUAUCAAAGCCCCAAAAUAAUUACUCAUAUUGUUAUAAACUCUUGUGAUUUUUAUUCAUUUUCAGAAAGCAAAUUAAAUUUUUUUAUGAAAUGCAAGCGGUUUCUGUCCCUCAUUUUAAAGUGAAUACAUCCAAACCCUUCCAUCAGUUUAUAAAGAUAUGGUUAACCUCUUACCUUUGCAGACUAUGCAAGUGAAAGCUGCUUUUAUUUUCUCUGUUUGGACUUCAGUCAAGGUUUUGGCAGGUGUUUGACUGGACAGCUCAGAAAGCUCUUUGAUAGUUGAGAUAACUUGCUGAAGGCCCUGUGACGCCAGCACCACUUCUUCUAUCUUAUCAUAGACAUCUUGUAGACUUGAGGUUUCAUCAUCUCUCCGACUUGAGCUAAAUUUAGUUUAAAAUAAAUUAGAAUUGACUUGUGCAUUUGAAAAAAAUAUUUACUCACAAAUACUAAUUCUGUACCUUCUUUUCCUCUUGCUGCCUUGAAAUUCUGUGAAGUCGUGCUCUGCAAUUGCAAAUACCUUGCGGGCAUUUUGCUUCCAGUAGAUGGAUCCUGAGUACGUGGAGGUGACAUGCCAUGAAAAAUUGUCAUAUUACUUUUGAUGUUUAAAACAGAUUAAUAAUGCAAACAAAUUGACAAAUAUGCACCUUUAGUUCCUUCAGAGUCAAGUAUCUCAUUGCCCUGGGCAUCGGUGAGAAUUACAGGAUCAUAACUGCCAAGAGCAUCUUGAACUUUCCCAAUAAUGCCAUGUACUGUAGCCUCACAUUCCAUGAAACGAACUACCACCAUCCUGCUUGGCCUCAGUUUGCCGUUUACUAAAUCAGCUAUGUAAAUGGAUCUGGAGACAUUAUGCACAUGACAAAUUCAGAAUUUAAUUUCUC
Molecule: long non-coding RNA, 3104 nt
Organism: Cyprinus carpio carpio
Lineage: Eukaryota; Metazoa; Chordata; Actinopteri; Cypriniformes; Cyprinidae
Source: Ensembl